RNAcentral lists this transfer RNA (72 nucleotides) under Candidatus Rokuibacteriota bacterium. RNAcentral describes it as "Candidatus Rokubacteria bacterium tRNA-Met". It matches the Rfam family "tRNA". From Rfam's summary of the family: Transfer RNA (tRNA) molecules are approximately 80 nucleotides in length. The record is from RNAcentral. Lineage: Bacteria; Candidatus Rokuibacteriota.
GGGCCCAUAGCUCAACGGCAGAGCGCCCGGCUCAUAACCGGACAGGUCUUGGUUCGAAUCCAGGUGGGCCCA